RNAcentral lists this ribosomal RNA (253 nucleotides) under uncultured bacterium. RNAcentral describes it as "partial 16S ribosomal RNA". It matches the Rfam family "Bacterial small subunit ribosomal RNA", at positions 524 to 776 of the family's 1533-position model. The record is from RNAcentral.
UACGUAGGGUGCGAGCGUUGUCCGGAUUUAUUGGGCGUAAAGAGCGUGUAGGCGGCCAUACAGGUCCGUUGUGAAAACUGGAGGCUUAACCUCCAGACGUCGAUGGAAACCGUAUGGCUAGAGUCCGGAAGAGGAGAGUGGAAUUCCUGGUGUAGCGGUGAAAUGCGCAGAUAUCAGGAAGAACACCCGUGGCGAAGGCGGCUCUCUGGGACGGUACUGACGCUGAGACGCGAAAGCGUGGGGAGCGAACAGG